CGGCGUGCUAUACAUGCAGUCGAGCGAACUGAUUAGAAGCUUGCUUCUAUGACGUUAGCGGCGGACGGGUGAGUAACACGUGGGCAACCUGCCUGUAAGACUGGGAUAACUUCGGGAAACCGAAGCUAAUACCGGAUAGGAUCUUCUCCUUCAUGGGAGAUGAUUGAAAGAUGGUUUCGGCUAUCACUUACAGAUGGGCCCGCGGUGCAUUAGCUAGUUGGUGAGGUAACGGCUCACCAAGGCAACGAUGCAUAGCCGACCUGAGAGGGUGAUCGGCCACACUGGGACUGAGACACGGCCCAGACUCCUACGGGAGGCAGCAGUAGGGAAUCUUCCGCAAUGGACGAAAGUCUGACGGAGCAACGCCGCGUGAGUGAUGAAGGCUUUCGGGUCGUAAAACUCUGUUGUUAGGGAAGAACAAGUACAAGAGUAACUGCUUGUACCUUGACGGUACCUAACCAGAAAGCCACGGCUAACUACGUGCCAGAGCG
RNAcentral lists this ribosomal RNA (491 nucleotides) under Priestia megaterium. Its description in RNAcentral is "bacterial SSU rRNA". It matches the Rfam family "Bacterial small subunit ribosomal RNA", at positions 40 to 516 of the family's 1533-position model. Lineage: Bacteria; Bacillati; Bacillota; Bacilli; Caryophanales; Bacillaceae. The record is from RNAcentral.